RNAcentral lists this ribosomal RNA (253 nucleotides) under uncultured bacterium. Its description in RNAcentral is "partial 16S ribosomal RNA". It matches the Rfam family "Bacterial small subunit ribosomal RNA", at positions 524 to 776 of the family's 1533-position model. The record is from RNAcentral.
UACGGAGGAUCCAAGCGUUAUCCGGAAUCAUUGGGUUUAAAGGGUCCGUAGGCGGUUUAGUAAGUCAGUGGUGAAAGCCCAUCGCUCAACGGUGGAACGGCCAUUGAUACUGCUAGACUUGAAUUGUUGGGAAGCAACUAGAAUAUGUAGUGUAGCGGUGAAAUGCUUAGAGAUUACAUGGAAUACCAAUUGCGAAGGCAGGUUGCUACCAAUACAUUGACGCUGAUGGACGAAAGCGUGGGGAGCGAACAGG